UGGGGUGUGUAAGCGUAGCGAUACGUUGAGCUAACCCAUACUAAUUACCCGUGAGGCUUAACCAUACAACACCCAAGAAGUGUUCUG
RNAcentral lists this ribosomal RNA (87 nucleotides) under Aeromonas caviae. RNAcentral describes it as "partial 23S ribosomal RNA". The record is from RNAcentral. Lineage: Bacteria; Pseudomonadati; Pseudomonadota; Gammaproteobacteria; Aeromonadales; Aeromonadaceae.